Podarcis lilfordi (Lilford's wall lizard) is the source of this 72-nucleotide non-coding RNA. NCBI's taxonomy places the organism in Eukaryota, Metazoa, Chordata, Lepidosauria, Squamata, Lacertidae. The record is from the annotation of a GenBank genome assembly.
GGGGGUGUAGCUAAGUGGAAGAGCAUCUGCUCAGCAUGCAAAAGACCCCAAGUUCAGUCCCUGGCAUCUCCA